UGCCAGCGGUGGUGACGCCAAUAGCGACGACCAAAAUUGGGGUGGCAAGGCCCACCCCACUGGCAGGCACAGUCCGAGAGCUUCAUUGCUGCCUUCUAUAGCUAUGAGCAAGUGAGAAGAGAAGCGGUCAUGGUUGAGGUGGGUGAGAAGAGAAGUGGCAUAGGCUGAGGGGGCAGUCAUGGUCGGGAUGAGUGAGAAGAGAAGCGGCAUUGAUCUUGUGGCAUUCGGAGGA
Molecule: long non-coding RNA, 232 nt
Filed under: Elaeis guineensis (African oil palm)
Lineage: Eukaryota; Viridiplantae; Streptophyta; Magnoliopsida; Arecales; Arecaceae
Description: long non-coding RNA (EGUI_LNC019519)
Source: RNAcentral